RNAcentral lists this ribosomal RNA (460 nucleotides) under uncultured Treponema sp. RNAcentral describes it as "partial 16S ribosomal RNA". It matches the Rfam family "Bacterial small subunit ribosomal RNA", at positions 341 to 792 of the family's 1533-position model. The record is from RNAcentral. Lineage: Bacteria; Pseudomonadati; Spirochaetota; Spirochaetia; Treponematales; Treponemataceae.
ACGGGAGGCAGCGGCUAAGAAUAUUCCGCAAUGGGGGAAACCCUGACGGAGCGACGCCGCGUGGACGAUGAAGGCCGGAAGGUUGUAAAAUCCUUUUAUGGCAGAGGAAUAAGCGGGGGAGUGGAAAGCCCUUGCGAUGACUGUAGGCCAUGAAUAAGCACCGGCUAAUUACGUGCCAGCAGCCGCGGUAACACGUAAGGUGCGAGCGUUGUUCGGAAUCAUUGGGCGUAAAGGGCGUGUAGGCGGUCUGUCAAGCCAGGCGUGAAAGCCAGGGGCUCAACCCCUGAACUGCGCUUGGAACUGGCGGACUGGAGUCGCUGAGGGGGAACCGGAAUUCCUGGUGUAGGGGUGAAAUCUGUAGAUAUCAGGAAGAACACCGAUGGCGAAGGCAGGUUUCCAGCAGACGACUGACGCUGAGGUGCGAAGGUGCGGGGAGCAAACAGGAUUAGAUACCCUGGUA